CUGGCGGCGUGCCUAACACAUGCAAGUCGAACGGGAAAGCGGNGGCAACCCUGUGAGUACAGUGGCGUACGGGUGAGUAACACGUGACUACCUACCCUCGAGUGGGGGAUAACCCCGGGAAACCGGGGCUAAUACCGCAUAACAUCGCAAGAUCAAAGGAGCAAUUCGCUUGAGGAGGGGGUCGCGGCUGAUUAGCUAGUUGGUGAGGUAACGGCCCACCAAGGCGAUGAUCGGUAGCCGGCCUGAGAGGGCGCACGGCCACACUGGAACUGAAACACGGUCCAGACUCCUACGGGAGGCAGCAGUGGGGAAUUUUGCGCAAUGGGGGAAACCCUGACGCAGCAACGCCGCGUGGAGGAUGAAGUCCCUUGGGACGUAAACUCCUUUCGACCCGGACGAUAAUGACGGUACGGGUGGAAGAAGCACCGGCUAACUUCGUGCCAGCA
Molecule: ribosomal RNA, 446 nt
Filed under: uncultured bacterium
Lineage: Bacteria
Description: bacterial SSU rRNA
Rfam family: Bacterial small subunit ribosomal RNA
Source: RNAcentral